GUGCUCGCUUCGGCAGCACAUAUACUAAAAUUGGAACAAUACAGAGAAUUAGCAUGGCCCCUGCGCAAGAAUGACACGCAAAUUUGUGAAGCAUUCCAUAUUUUU
Small nuclear RNA from Capra hircus (goat), 105 nucleotides. The record is from Ensembl. NCBI's taxonomy places the organism in Eukaryota, Metazoa, Chordata, Mammalia, Artiodactyla, Bovidae.